The sequence is a ribosomal RNA, 706 nucleotides long. The stretch from base 377 to 706 matches the Rfam family "Eukaryotic large subunit ribosomal RNA", at positions 1 to 327 of the family's 3401-position model.
CAAUCUUUGACGCAAAUUGCGCUCUUGGGUAGCCCUAGGAGCACGCCUCUCUCAGUAUCGGUUCAACAAUCUCUCAGCAGCGUGAUUGCAAAAUUGCGUGUUGGCUGGAUAAUGAGAGUCUGUUUUGUUUUCAUUUACGAACAGUCUCUUUAAGUACAUGGAGUAAAUAAUUUGCUAACGAUCAGCUCUGCUUUUACGAGCAGAUAGUCUAUUUUUGACUGUUGUUCGAUAGUGAUGUGAAUACUGGCCUUUACUGGUCUCAUUUUACAUCUUAUCUAUUCGUGACAAUACCUAAAGUUGAGAAUGGGUGAACGUUCGAUCUAGUAUUAUUUGCGUGAGAAAACCAUAUGGUUUUUCUUCGGAAAAGCCUGAAUUUUGAUCUGAGAUGAAGCGAGACAACCCCCUGAAUUUAAGCAUAUUAAUAAGGGGAGGAAAAGAAACUAACAAGGAUUCCCCUAGUAACGGCGAGUGAAGCGGGAAGAGCUCAAUUUGAAAAUCGAUUUCCUAAACGGGACAUCGAGUUGUAGCCUAUAGACGUACUAUCAGCUGAAACCUGGGUAUAAGUUCUUUGGAAUGAGGCGCUAUAAAGGGUGAGAGCCCCGUAUAUGGCCCAAAGCUUUCAGCGUACGAUGUGCGUUCAUCGAGUCGAGUUGUUUGGGAUUGCAGCUCUAAAUGGGUGGUAGUUUCAUCUAAGCUAAAUAAUGGC